AUCCAGAUGACGAGUCCUAAAUGGGACGAAACUCGCUCCUUGGAU
Molecule: non-coding RNA, 45 nt
Filed under: Schistosoma margrebowiei
Lineage: Eukaryota; Metazoa; Platyhelminthes; Trematoda; Strigeidida; Schistosomatidae
Source: RNAcentral